This 500-nucleotide ribosomal RNA is filed under the name uncultured bacterium. RNAcentral describes it as "partial 16S ribosomal RNA". It matches the Rfam family "Bacterial small subunit ribosomal RNA", at positions 30 to 523 of the family's 1533-position model. The record is from RNAcentral.
AUUGAACGCUGGCGGAAUGCUUUACACAUGCAAGUCGAACGGCAGCACGGACUUCGGUCUGGUGGCGAGUGGCGAACGGGUGAGUAAUACAUCGGAACGUGCCCAAUCGUGGGGGAUAACGCAGCGAAAGCUACGCUAAUACCGCAUACGAUCUAAGGAUGAAAGCGGGGGAUCGCAAGACCUCGCGCGAUUGGAGCGGCCGAUGGCAGAUUAGGUAGUUGGUAGGGUAAAGGCCUACCAAGCCGACGAUCUGUAGCUGGUCUGAGAGGAUGAUCAGCCACACUGGGACUGAGACACGGCCCAGACUCCUACGGGAGGCAGCAGUGGGGAAUUUUGGACAAUGGACGCAAGUCUGAUCCAGCCAUUCCGCGUGCAGGAUGAAGGCCCUCGGGUUGUAAACUGCUUUUGUACAGAACGAAAAGGUUUCUACUAAUACUAGGAGCUCAUGACGGUACUGUAAGAAUAAGCACCGGCUAACUACGUGCCAGCCGCCGCCGUAA